AAAAACAGAUCAAAUAAUUCUUUUAAAAUGUAUUUUUAUUUGCAGAAGCCACAGAAGCCAAACUUGACAAUGUUAAUGAAUGUUCCCCAAAAGUUCAGGAAUAUUGGUGGUGGUGAUAGUUCUAGAAUUGAAAUUCCUAAGUCACAGAAGAAAAGCCUCAAACAAAAAAAA
This is a non-coding RNA of Coturnix japonica (Japanese quail), 171 nucleotides long. The record is from RefSeq and is a predicted model, not a curated record. NCBI's taxonomy places the organism in Eukaryota, Metazoa, Chordata, Aves, Galliformes, Phasianidae.